UGGCUCAGAACGAACGCUGGCGGCGUGCCUAACACAUGCAAGUCGAACGUGAUUGGAAGCUUGCUUCCAUGAAAGUGGCGCACGGGUGAGUAACGCGUAGAUAAUCUGCCUGGUGAUUUGGGAUAACACUUCGAAAGGGGUGCUAAUACCGAAUAAGCCCACGGAGUCUUCGGAUUCUGCGGAAAAGGGGGGGACCUUCGGGCCUUCUGUCACCAGAUGAGUCUGCGUACCAUUAGCUAGUUGGUGGGGUAAAGGCCUACCAAGGCUACGAUGGUUAGCUGGUCUGAGAGGAUGAUCAGCCACACUGGAACUGAGACACGGUCCAGACUCCUACGGGAGGCAGCAGUGGGGAAUUUUGCGCAAUGGGGGAAACCCUGACGCAGCAACGCCGCGUGAGUGAUGAAGGCCUUCGGGUCGUAAAGCUCUGUCAGAGGGAAAGAAAUGUGGGUGGCUAAUAUCCAUACCACUUGACGGUACCCUCAAAGGAAGCACCGGCUAACUCCGUGCCAGCAGCCGCGGUAA
RNAcentral lists this ribosomal RNA (522 nucleotides) under uncultured delta proteobacterium. RNAcentral describes it as "bacterial SSU rRNA". It matches the Rfam family "Bacterial small subunit ribosomal RNA", at positions 20 to 523 of the family's 1533-position model. The record is from RNAcentral. Lineage: Bacteria; Deltaproteobacteria.